GGGGAUGUCAUAGACACUCCUCUCCUUUGAUCUCCAUCAAGAUCUACACAUGGGGAGCAGAGAGAGGAGUGUAAGAGUCAUACCUGUCAUAGCUGCUUGGCUUCAGACUCCAUCAUCGAGGUGAAGCUCUUUAUUGAUAAUUGGCCGACUUGAUUCGAUCGAAGCUCCACUCUUCUUUUGUUUCUUCUUUUGAUUUUUUUCUUCUGUCUGUCGUCGGUCAAAAGUAGCUUCAUCUGUGCAGAUGUAUUUGUAUGCACAUUCUAGAAGUUCAGCAUAGGACUGGGAG
Molecule: long non-coding RNA, 286 nt
Filed under: Elaeis guineensis (African oil palm)
Lineage: Eukaryota; Viridiplantae; Streptophyta; Magnoliopsida; Arecales; Arecaceae
Description: long non-coding RNA (EGUI_LNC058378)
Source: RNAcentral